CAGUCGCCGCGGUAAUACGUAGGGUGCGAGCGUUAAUCGGAAUUACUGGGCGUAAAGCGUGCGCAGGCGGUUUUGUAAGACAGGCGUGAAAUCCCCGGGCUCAACCUGGGAAUGGCGCUUGUGACUGCAAAGCUAGAGUACGGCAGAGGGGGAUGGAAUUCCGCGUGUAGCAGUGAAAUGCGUAGAUAUGCGGAGGAACACCGAUGGCGAAGGCAAUCCCCUGGGCCUGCACUGACGCUCAUGCACGAAAGCGUGGGGAGCAAACAGGAUUAGAUACCCGUGUAGUCCCUGUCUCUUAUAA
RNAcentral lists this ribosomal RNA (301 nucleotides) under uncultured bacterium. Its description in RNAcentral is "partial 16S ribosomal RNA". It matches the Rfam family "Bacterial small subunit ribosomal RNA", at positions 509 to 809 of the family's 1533-position model. The record is from RNAcentral.